UCUUUUUUUUUUUUUCAUCCGACAAUUUCAUCUUGAGCAUGCAGAGCUGCUUGGUCUGGGAGGGAAAUGAUGCUUUCUCAUCAGUCCCUCUUUUUCUCUAUCAUCAUCAGUAUCCUGACAUGGCAAGGUGUUCCUUAACUCCCCUGUGGAGCCCCCUUAGCACAGCUGGGACAAUCGAGUGUUCAGCACCACGGACAGCAUUACAACCCAUUCAGCACUUGUUGAAGUCAUUUGUCCAUUUCUCUCUCAGGUGCAACUGAAUGAAAAUGCCAGCCUUGUAGAAUGAUUGUGGAGUGUCAUCAUAGAGUGGUGGGAAGAACACAAGAGAGUGACAAAGAUUGUGUACGUUAUCCCUCAACCUCUGUACAAAUGGACGUCAACUUCAGAAAAGAUGACAGACUCUCUUGGGGAAGCACUAUGAAAGACGAAACAUUUUUAUCCAUAGGAGACUUAUCAUUGUCUAAAGAAAGAAUAUCAGAGGAAAGAGAAUCUUCAGCAAAGGAAGGAAAUGGGAGAAAGAAGGGCACACUGGUUGUGCCUACUGAAGCAAAGACCACUGAGGACAACUCUGCUGCUGAUGUACUUUCCCUUCUGCUAAAGAACUCUGCCUUUGCCUUCUUCUGUCUCCUGUUUGCAUGGCCAGCUUCUUCAUUCCAUUUAUGUUUCUGAUAAGGAAGGAUACCUUUCUUUUUUGUUAUCUUCAAUGUGUUAAAGACACUUGUAUCGUCCCAAGACAGUUGCCACACCUCUAAACAUCAUGUUUCCAUAUGAAAUGUUCCAAACAGAAAGGAAAGUGCAUGGGGUAGGGGAGGGUUUCACUUGAGGCAUCUGUCUUCCUUUCAGGGCAAAAAAAAAUCUUUUCCAAAGGACUUAAUGGACUUCCCUUUACAUCUCAGUGCCAGGACGUGUAUGAUAUGACUACCCCUAGCUGCAAGGGAAGCUAAGAAACUUUGUACAGGGAAAACAAUUAUGUUCUUUAAAGUGAUACACCAAAAAUAACAAAGUUAAGAGCAGACCACUAAACUUUACAUAAAGACUAUAAAAAUUACUAUGUUAAAAAAUACUAAAACAGGGGCUGGGGUUAUGGCUCAGUGGCAGAAUACUUGCCAGGACACAUGUGAGGCACUGGGUUCAAUCCUUAGCACCACAUAAAA
Ictidomys tridecemlineatus (thirteen-lined ground squirrel) is the source of this 1154-nucleotide long non-coding RNA. RefSeq lists it as uncharacterized. The record is from RefSeq and is a predicted model, not a curated record. Lineage: Eukaryota; Metazoa; Chordata; Mammalia; Rodentia; Sciuridae.